RNAcentral lists this ribosomal RNA (468 nucleotides) under uncultured bacterium. RNAcentral describes it as "partial 16S ribosomal RNA". It matches the Rfam family "Bacterial small subunit ribosomal RNA", at positions 28 to 507 of the family's 1533-position model. The record is from RNAcentral.
GACGAACGCUGGCGGCGUGCUUAACACAUGCAAGUCGAACGGAAAGGCCCUGCUUUUGUGGGGUGCUCGAGUGGCGAACGGGUGAGUAACACGUGAGUAACCUGCCCUGGACUUGGGGAUAACUUCAGGAACCUGGGGCUAUUACCGGAUAGGAGCUCCUGCUGCAUGGGGGGGGUGGGAAAGUUUCGGCGGUGGGGGAUGGACUCGCGGCUUAUCAGCUUGUUGGUGGGGUAGUGGCUUACCAAGGCUUUGACGGGUAGCCGGCCUGAGAGGGUGACCGGCCACAUUGGGACUGAGAUACGGCCCAGACUCCUACGGGAGGCAGCAGUGGGGAAUAUUGCACAAUGGGCGGAAGCCUGAUGCAGCAACGCCGCGUGCGGGAUGACGGCCUUCGGGUUGUAAACCGCUUUCGCCUGUGACGAAGCGUGAGUGACGGUAAUGGGUAAAGAAGCACCGGCUAACUACGUG